RNAcentral lists this ribosomal RNA (1895 nucleotides) under human gut metagenome. Its description in RNAcentral is "bacterial LSU rRNA". It matches the Rfam family "Bacterial large subunit ribosomal RNA", at positions 3 to 1989 of the family's 2925-position model. The record is from RNAcentral.
UUAAGCUAAUAAGAGCGCAGGGAGGAUGCCUUGGCAUCAGGAGCCGAUGAAGGACGCGGUAAGCUGCGAAAAGCUCCGGGGAGUGGCAAGCACACAUUGAUCCGGAGAUGUCCGAAUGGAGCAAUCCACAUGAGUGAAGCUCAUGUAUCAUAUACUGAAUAAAUAGGUAUAUGAGGGGAACCGUCUGAACUGAAACAUCUAAGUAGGACGAGGAAAAGAAAUCAACCGAGAUUCCGCUAGUAGUGGCGAGCGAACGCGGAAGAGGCUAAACCAGAGUCAGCAAUGACUCUGGGGUUAGGACUGCAUUUAGUAUCAAUGAGGUCUAGUCGAAGUACAUGGGAAGGUACAUCGAAGAGGGUGAGAAUCCCGUAGACGAAAGAUCAAGUUGGCGAGCAGUAUCCAGAGUACCGCCGGACACGUGAAACCCGGUGGGAAUGCGGGGGGACCAUCCUCCAAGCCUAAAUACUACCUGAUGACCGAUAGCGCAUAGUACUGUGAAGGAAAGGUGAAAAGAACCCCGGGAGGGGAGUGAAAGAGAGCCUGAAACCCUGUGCUUACAAGCACACAGAGCACGUCAAAGUGUGAUGUGGUACCUAUUGUAGAAUGGUCCGGCGAGUUAUUUUAUGCAGCGAGGUUAAGGACUUAAGGUCUGUAGCCGAAGUGAAAGCGAGUGUUAAUAGCACGAAACAGUUGCAUGCAAUAGACCCGAAACCGGGUGACCUAUCCAUGUCCAGGCUGAAGUGAGGGUAAAACCUCAUGGAGGGCCGAACCGACUCCCGUUGAAAUGGUAGCGGAUGAGGUGUGGAUAGCGGAGAAAUUCCAAUCGAACCCGGAUAUAGCUGGUUCUCCCCGAAACCGUUUUAGGACGGGCCUCGUGUGAAGAUUAUCGGAGGUAAAGCACUGAAUAGCCUAGGGGGCGAGAGCCUACCGAAGCUUAUCAAACUCUGAAUGCCGAAUAAUCGUUUCACGGGAGUCAGACUGUGUGAGAUAAGUUUCAUAGUCAAAAGGGAAACAGCCCAGACCCACAGCUAAGGUCCCAAAGUGUAUUUAAGUGGAAAACGAUGUGAAGUUGCGUAGACAACCAGGAUGUUGGCUUAGAAGCAGCCACUCAUUAAAAGAGUGCGUAAUAGCUCACUGGUCGAGUGACUUUGCGCGGAAAAUUUAACGGGGCUAAAAUACACACCGAAGCUUGGGCUUGACGCUUUGCGUCAGGGGUAGGGGAGCGUCGUGUAAGGGGCGAAGUCGUAUCGUAAGGGACGGUGGACUUUACACGAGUGAGAAUGCCGGAAUGAGUAGCGAGAAUUAUGUGAGAAUCAUAAUGGUCGAAAGCCUAAGGUUUUUGGAGGAAGGUUCGUCCGCUCCAAGUAAGCCGGGAGCUAAGGUCAGGCGGAAACGCGUAGCCGAUGCACAUACGGUUGAAAUUCCGUAGCCUCAGAAAGAUUUAAACAGAGGGACACUUUGAAAGGACUGUAGCCGGGUGUUGGUUACCCCGGUCGUAAGGGAACGAAAUUAAGUAGUGAAGGCAGUCUGGACGGAGGCGAGAAAAGCUCUGUGUAUAUCUGAUGAGCCCGUACCGCAAACCGACACAGGUAGGUGGGAUGAGAAUUCUAAGACCAACGGGAGAAGGGUAGUUAAGGAACUCGGCAAAUUGUCCCCGUAACUUCGGAAUAAGGGGAGCCUGCGAAAGCAGGCCGCAGAGAAUUGGCCCAGGCGACUGUUUAUCAAAAACACAGCUCUAUGCUAAAUCGAAAGAUGACGUAUAUGGGGUGACACCUGCCCGGUGCUGGAAGGUUAAGAGGAGAUGUGAGAGCAUUGAAUUGAAGCCCCAGUAAACGGCGGCCGUAACUAUAACGGUCCUAAGGUAGCGAAAUUCCUUGUCAGGUAAGUUCUGACCC